Molecule: long non-coding RNA, 217 nt
Filed under: Lathyrus oleraceus (garden pea)
Lineage: Eukaryota; Viridiplantae; Streptophyta; Magnoliopsida; Fabales; Fabaceae
Description: Pisum sativum (pea) long non-coding RNA (PSAT_LNC006918)
Source: RNAcentral
GCACUGUCUGAAGAGAAAACCACUGAGGAAUAUAUAAGAGACCAAAGUUCUGCUCCAACAAGAAUACCAGAAAACCGGGUUGGUUGAAGGUUAAGGUUUCCUGAAUAUAGCCCGCCCCUCACUGGUAGGUUCUAAGAACAAAAGUUCGUCAGCUUCUAAUCCUUUAGUCGAAUAAUACAUUUACCACUGAAGGUUUGGCAUUAUUACGAGACAAAAG